This 253-nucleotide ribosomal RNA is filed under the name uncultured bacterium. RNAcentral describes it as "partial 16S ribosomal RNA". It matches the Rfam family "Bacterial small subunit ribosomal RNA", at positions 524 to 776 of the family's 1533-position model. The record is from RNAcentral.
UACAUGUGGGGCAAGCGUUGUUCGGAAUUACUGGGCCUAAAGGGUGCGUAGGCGGCUUGCUAAGUCAGUGGUGAAAUCGUCCGGCCCAACCGGACACGUGCCAAUGAUACUGGUGAGCUAGAGUGCGUGAGGGGUAGGGGGAACGAGCAGUGUAGCGGUGAAAUGCGUAGAUAUCAGGAAGAACACCCGUGGCGAAAGCGGCUCUCUGGAACGGUACUGACGCUGAGACGCGAAAGCGUGGGGAGCGAACAGG